CACCUGGGAAUCUUGCUAAACAUUUUGAUUCAGUGAGAAGGGAUGAGGCCCAAGAUUCUGGAUUUCUAGCAAGCUCUUAAGUGAUG
RNAcentral lists this microRNA precursor (86 nucleotides) under Ovis aries (sheep). RNAcentral's name for it is "miRNA (ENSOARG00000023737.1)". Lineage: Eukaryota; Metazoa; Chordata; Mammalia; Artiodactyla; Bovidae. The record is from RNAcentral.